GCUGGCGCCAAUAGAGAGGGUGAUACACCUGUUCCCAUCCCGAACACAGAAGUUAAGCCCCUCAUCGCCGAUGGUACUGCAGAGUUCGCUCUGUGGGAGAGCAGGACGGUGCCACAC
Leptonema illini DSM 21528 is the source of this 117-nucleotide ribosomal RNA. Lineage: Bacteria; Pseudomonadati; Spirochaetota; Leptospiria; Leptospirales; Leptospiraceae. The record is from Rfam.